Molecule: small RNA, 581 nt
Filed under: Pongo abelii (Sumatran orangutan)
Lineage: Eukaryota; Metazoa; Chordata; Mammalia; Primates; Hominidae
Description: retained intron
Source: RNAcentral
GGGCAGGGUUGAUAGACACCCCACUCCAGGAAGGCUGUGGAACAGACAGAUUUGUAAGUCUUCUAUUAAACAAGUUGCAACAUUUAAUAGUACUAACUGUUUAAUUCAUUUCUUCUGAUUGUUCUUCUGAAUAUUGCUAUUAUUAAAGGAAUCAUUGCUAGUAAGGGUCUUGCCUUACUUGGUAGGUAUUUUAACUGUGCAGUCAUCUGGUACACUAUAUGUGCUAAUUACAGGAGCAGAAACAUUCUCAAUUGUACUUGGGUGUGAUUAUGUUCUUGUGCUUUCCUGCAGGAAGCUUAUUUUCGAUACAUGGCAGAAAACCCAACUGCUGGUGUGGUUCAGGAGGAAGAGGAAGACAAUCUAGAAUAUGAUAGUGACGGAAAUCCAAUUGCACCUACCAAAAAAAUCAUUGAUCCUCUUCCCCCCAUUGAUCAUUCAGAGACUAACUUUGAAUAAUUGGACCUGCAGAUUGACUAUCCACCAUUUGAAAAAAACUUUUACAAUGAGCAUGAAGAGAUAACCAACCUCACUCCACAGCAGUUAAUAGAUCUCCGGCAUAAGCUCAAUCUUCGGGUCUCUGG